This 449-nucleotide ribosomal RNA is filed under the name Mycobacteriaceae bacterium Ellin7052. Its description in RNAcentral is "bacterial SSU rRNA". It matches the Rfam family "Bacterial small subunit ribosomal RNA", at positions 28 to 486 of the family's 1533-position model. Lineage: Bacteria; Bacillati; Actinomycetota; Actinomycetes; Mycobacteriales; Mycobacteriaceae. The record is from RNAcentral.
GACGAACGCUGGCGGCGUGCUUAACACAUGCAAGUCGAACGGAAAGUGCCCAGCUUGCUGGGUGACUCGAGUGGCGAACGGGUGAGUAACACGUGGGUGAUCUGCCCUGCACUUUGGGAUAAGCCUGGGAAACUGGGUCUAAUACCGAAUACUCCUUGCUGGUCGCAUGGCCUGGUGGGGGAAAGCUUUUGCGGUGUGGGAUGGGCCCGCGGCCUAUCAGCUUGUUGGUGGGGUGAUGGCCUACCAAGGCGACGACGGGUAGCCGGCCUGAGAGGGUGUCCGGCCACACUGGGACUGAGAUACGGCCCAGACUCCUACGGGAGGCAGCAGUGGGGAAUAUUGCACAAUGGGCGCAAGCCUGAUGCAGCGACGCCGCGUGAGGGAUGACGGCCUUCGGGUUGUAAACCUCUUUCAGUAUCGACGAAGCGUAAGUGACGGUAGAUACAGAA